UACGAAGGGGGCUAGCGUUAUUCGGAAUUACUGGGCGUAAAGCGCACGUAGGCGGCUUUGUAAGUAAGAGGUGAAAGCCUGGUGCUCAACACCAGAACUGCCUUUUAGACUGCAUCGCUUGAAUCAUGGAGAGGUGAGUGGAAUUCCGAGUGUAGAGGUGAAAUUCGUAGAUAUUCGGAAGAACACCAGUGGCGAAGGCGGCUCACUGGACAUGUAUUGACGCUGAGGUGCGAAAGCGUGGGGAGCAAACAGG
This 253-nucleotide ribosomal RNA is filed under the name uncultured bacterium. Its description in RNAcentral is "partial 16S ribosomal RNA". It matches the Rfam family "Bacterial small subunit ribosomal RNA", at positions 524 to 776 of the family's 1533-position model. The record is from RNAcentral.